RNAcentral lists this ribosomal RNA (253 nucleotides) under uncultured bacterium. RNAcentral's name for it is "partial 16S ribosomal RNA". It matches the Rfam family "Bacterial small subunit ribosomal RNA", at positions 524 to 776 of the family's 1533-position model. The record is from RNAcentral.
GACAGAGGGGGCAAGCGUUGCUCGGAAUUACUGGGCGUAAAGGGCGCGUAGGCGGGAUGGCAAGUCGGUCGUGAAAUCCCUCGGCUCAACCGAGGAACGUCGAUCGAUACUGCUGUUCUUGAGGAUUGCAGAGGAGACUGGAAUUCCUGGUGUAGCGGUGAAAUGUGUAGAGAUCGGGAGGAACACCGGUGGCGAAGGCGGGUCUCUGGGCAAUUCCUGACGCUGAGGCGCGAAAGCGUGGGGAGCAAACGGG